GGUUAAGUCCCGCAACGAGCGCAACCCUCGUCUUUAGUUGCCAUCAUUAAGUUGGGAACUCCAGAGAGACUGCCGGUGACAAAUCCGGAGGAAGGUGGGGAUGACGUCAAGUCAGCAUGCCCCUUACGUCUUGGGCUACACACGUACUACAAUGGUCGGGACAACGGGCAGCUAAUCCGCGAGGACAAGCGAAUCCCAACAAACCCGGCCUCAGUUCAGAUUGCAGGCUGAAACUCGCCUGCAUGAAGGAGGAAUCGCUAGUAAUCGCAGGUCAGCAUACUGCGGUGAAUUCGUUCCCGGGCCUUGUACACACCGCCCGUCACACCAUGG
RNAcentral lists this ribosomal RNA (330 nucleotides) under uncultured cyanobacterium. Its description in RNAcentral is "bacterial SSU rRNA". It matches the Rfam family "Bacterial small subunit ribosomal RNA", at positions 1078 to 1407 of the family's 1533-position model. Lineage: Bacteria; Bacillati; Cyanobacteriota. The record is from RNAcentral.